UCAGGUGUGACUACAACAGGUCACCUGCCUCUAUCUUACCCAAUCCCCAGCGUCCUCCUCUGUCCUCCAACUCUGCCUCCCCAAACCACACAUCAUAGCAGAACAUACCUCUACCUCUCAAGGCUCUCUUCCAACUGAUUUGAACUUUCACUACAGAUCACAGUGUCGUCUGCAAAGAAAAAAAUCGUUGUCCAUGGAGACUCCGGCCUAACUUUAUCUGUCAUCCUGUCCAUUACAGCUGUGAUGGAGAUGAUCUCUCAUGUAAUUCUAACCCCAUCUAUAUGCAAAUUGUUGUAUGAUGCGCCCAAAAAGCUUUCCAGGUUAGUUUUAUCCUAUCCUUCAUCAACCUCCUCUCCCACUAUCUCCAGAUUGUAGGCUUCUGGACUUGAUACAAAGUAAAAAGUCCUUAGCAUCCUCUUAUGUUUGCUUCCAGUCCUGAGGUCAGCCCUGUAGUGCCACAAUUCAAUUCAAAGGUUUAAAAUCAAGCCUGGUCAGCUACAGCAAGCACACAGCACCUAGGGAACCUUCAGAUCAUCAAGUCAUCAAUAUCGUUGCUGGCAUGUUUUCAAAAGACACUUUGACAUUCUUUCAAAUGUAAUAUUUGAUUCUUUUUCUCAUUUUAACUGUUUUGGUGUUGUUGGUAAAGUCCCAGUGACAGAGGAAUUGUCUAAAGCAGUCUGUAUCCGUCUGUCUAUCCAUUUAUGGGUUAUAAAUCUCACUCAAAGAGCUGAGACAGACAAGAAUUACAUCUGCAGGUGAUGUAGAACUACCAGUUAUCCCAGACUAGAUGACAGGAGAGAAAGAAAAUUUGACUUUUAUAUUAAUGCACAUUAGAGCAACAGAAGAAUUUCAGUUGUCAGGUAAUAUGAACUGCAUUCUGGUAUUUAUGGUUCACUGAUCUUUUGAUUGUUACCAUAUGCACUGUGUGGAAAAAGACAUUAUGUGGGUUUGCAGUGUCUUAAAUUCCCUUUUUUGUAGCUGGAAUGGAUGGAACUUCAUGCGAUAACGUCUUUAAGAGGUCUUGAAGAUGCUAUGAGCAGUCUAAAGAACCUGCACAUUAACUUGAAUGUUGUUUUUAACAAGUUCUGUGUUCUGCUGUCUUGUGUAUGUUGUCUAAACUUGUGUUAUAUGAGAUACUCUCAGAGGAAUUGGUCAUGGGGAUAUAAUGCUAAGUACAACACAAUGCUCAGUAAAUUACUAUUAACUACUGGGCAUGGCUGCUGACUACCGGAUAGUAAUGACAGUAUUGAUUAGGCUUGCUAGGGUAAUGCCAGUGCAAUUUUCCACUAAUAUCCAUGAGUACUUUUAUGGAAUAAAUGCAUAUUGUCCACAAUUUAGUCACAUAAAUGCUAAUUUAUUUCUUUUAUCACAACAAACUGAUUUCUACAUACAGUGCCUCAUAUGUGAAUAAAAUAAGGAUCACCUCAGUUUCUAGCAUCUGCAGUGCAUCAGCUUCUCGUACAAUGUUUCCAGCUCUGCAGCAGCACAGAAAAAAAGCUUAUACAGACACUUGCAAGGGGUAAAACAUUUAGUCACAAAGCAACAACAACAUGACAACUAAAUGACGCUAAUGAAGGCAAGCAGGAACUAGAGCAAAGCAUUUGAUGGGUCUCACAAUGUUAACCUUCUAUCCCUGUCCCACUUAUCAUCCAUCA
Oreochromis niloticus (Nile tilapia) is the source of this 1655-nucleotide long non-coding RNA. RefSeq lists it as uncharacterized. The transcript has 2 exons. The record is from RefSeq and is a predicted model, not a curated record. NCBI's taxonomy places the organism in Eukaryota, Metazoa, Chordata, Actinopteri, Cichliformes, Cichlidae.